CCUUAGUUUGUGUUUUGAUCCAGCACUUGAAGAAGCUUUUUGGAUGUGCCUAACCUGCACUCUGUUUAAAAUUCAACAUUAUAAAUGAAUAAUUGAUUGAUCGCAUUUAUUGCUUAAUAUAUCUGACUCUUGUCACUGACAGUCUGAUGAGUGGAACGUUGCUUGAUGAAAACACGUUUUUUUUUUUUUUAAAAGAAUGAUAAACUAUGUCGCACCAAAGAUGAUUUGAUCACUGCAAGAGCUUAAGAAAAAGUGCAGACAUUUGCAGAGGACAUCACCAUUGACCCCGACACCGACU
Long non-coding RNA from Anoplopoma fimbria (sablefish), 298 nucleotides. RefSeq lists it as uncharacterized. The record is from RefSeq and is a predicted model, not a curated record. The transcript is spliced from 3 exons. NCBI's taxonomy places the organism in Eukaryota, Metazoa, Chordata, Actinopteri, Perciformes, Anoplopomatidae.